This 440-nucleotide ribosomal RNA is filed under the name uncultured bacterium. RNAcentral's name for it is "partial 16S ribosomal RNA". It matches the Rfam family "Bacterial small subunit ribosomal RNA", at positions 338 to 795 of the family's 1533-position model. The record is from RNAcentral.
CCUACGGGGUGCAGCAGUGGGGGAUAUUGCACAAUGGGGGAAACCCUGAUGCAGCGACGCCGCGUGGGUGAAGAAGCGCCUCGGCGCGUAAAGCCCUGUCAGCAGGGAAGAAAAUGACGGUACCUGAAGAAGAAGCCCCGGCUAACUACGUGCCAGCAGCCGCGGUAAUACGUAGGGGGCAAGCGUUAUCCGGAUUUACGGGGUGUAAAGGGGGCGCAGACGGCGAUGCAAGCCAGGAGUGAAAGCCCGGGGCCCAACCCCGGGACUGCUCUUGGAACUGCGUGGCGAGAGUGCAGGAGGGGCAGGCGGAAUUCCUGGUGUAGCGGUGAAAUGCGUAGAUAUCAGGAGGAACACCGGUGGCGAAGGCGGCCUGCUGGACUGCAACUGACGUUGAGGCCCGAAAGCGUGGGGAGCAAACAGGAUUAGAUACCCCAGUAGUC